GAUGAAGAACGUAGCGAAAUGCGAUAAGUAAUGCGAAUUGCAGAAUCCGUGAGUCAUCGAAUCUUUGAACGCACAUUGCGCCCUCUGGUAUUCCGGGGGGCAUGCCUGUUCGAGCGUCAUUAUCCAUCCCUCAAACCUCGUGUUUGAUGUCGGGCUUUUCUGAACCGUCACAAGUUUAGAUGCCUCAAAGGUAAUGACGGCGUCCUCGUGGGACUCGACGCACUGAGCUUUUUUGCAAAGGCACGCGUUGUAGGAUCGCGGGUGACCCGGUCUAACUCUUAAAAAAAUUUUUACAAGGUUGACCUCGGAUCAGGUAGGGAUACCCGCUGAACUUAAGCAUAUCAAUAAGCGGAGGA
Molecule: unclassified non-coding RNA, 356 nt
Filed under: soil metagenome
Description: partial contains 5.8S ribosomal RNA, internal transcribed spacer 2, and large subunit ribosomal RNA
Rfam family: 5.8S ribosomal RNA (bases 1-119)
Source: RNAcentral